UCUCUUGAAUCUUGAUGAGCUUAUCUCUUCAUUUAUUCUCUUUUUAUCUACCUCCACCCACUCAUAAGUGGUAAAAAUAUGAAAAAACAAUUGCUACCGUCUUUUCCUUUGAUACUCUCACGCUUUCUCCAAAGCAACAUGUCCUUGAAGCAUGCUAGCCAAUUUGAAGAAAUUAUCAUGUGAAGCAUUAGUCAUUCAGCUUCAGCAGCUUGUUUAAUUUUUCCCCGAUUCAUAUAGAGCAAAGUACUUUUGCUUUACGUGAUCAUGACAUUGCAGAACUCCAAAUUGGAAUCUGAAAAUGAG
Molecule: unclassified non-coding RNA, 303 nt
Filed under: Hevea brasiliensis (rubber tree)
Lineage: Eukaryota; Viridiplantae; Streptophyta; Magnoliopsida; Malpighiales; Euphorbiaceae
Source: RNAcentral